ACCUCUCGUAUUUCAAAAAUCAUUAAUACUAGCAGCCAAAUCGAGGCUCGAAAUAGCACAUGACAACUUUUUACGUCCAAUGUGACAGACCACGUGACAAUAUGCACGUCAGGCCACCUUGAACUUUGGAGUGGGGGGCAACUAUUGGGACAAUUCAACCGACCCUCGAUUCCGACUCUAGAUCAACUUUAUAAACACAAUAUGCCGACUAACAAUCAGUUGACCAUCCAACAGUCAGCUAUUCUCAGCCAUCAACGGACAACCACGACAACUCGAUUAAUAUCCGAUCGAUGAUCAUCAGCAUAUCAGAGUUAUCAACUAAUACUCAUUCGGAUCUCCACGACUACCGACAUAUAGUCGGCUUAUCUUCUCACGAUCACAUAAUGCCGGAAUGUGCGGAAUCCACAUGUCUAACCGUUAUAAACGGUUAUCAACUAUGUGUCACGAUUAUUAGUGGGCAUAAACAGUCUAUUAACUCCAUGAUUAUGGCCCAAUAAUUAGGGUAAUUAUCCUUUAGUGCCAUAAAAAGUGGGACCACGUGCUCGACAGUUAUAUUUGAAUCACCUAUAAAAGAAAAGUAAAUGAACAGCAUUGGUAAGGUACUUCUGGGCUGAGACUCUACCACAUUCAAAAUUCUUAUUUACUGUUCACCAUUCUCUACUAACU
This 666-nucleotide long non-coding RNA is filed under the name Elaeis guineensis (African oil palm). Its description in RNAcentral is "long non-coding RNA (EGUI_LNC078988)". The record is from RNAcentral. Lineage: Eukaryota; Viridiplantae; Streptophyta; Magnoliopsida; Arecales; Arecaceae.